GCCGAUGUAGCUCAGUGGUAGAGCGCUAGACUCAUAAUCUAGAGGUCGUGUGUUCGAUCCACACCAUCGGCA
This 72-nucleotide transfer RNA is filed under the name archaeon. RNAcentral describes it as "tRNA-Met". It matches the Rfam family "tRNA". From Rfam's summary of the family: Transfer RNA (tRNA) molecules are approximately 80 nucleotides in length. The record is from RNAcentral.